This is a small nucleolar RNA of Cephalotus follicularis, 107 nucleotides long. It matches the Rfam family "Plant small nucleolar RNA R71". Rfam says of the family: R71 is a member of the C/D box family of snoRNAs containing the C (UGAUGA) and D (CUGA) box motifs. Multiple nearly identical copies of this snoRNA have been identified in Arabidopsis, and it is thought to function as a 2'-O-ribose methylation guide for 18S ribosomal RNA. Lineage: Eukaryota; Viridiplantae; Streptophyta; Magnoliopsida; Oxalidales; Cephalotaceae. The record is from Rfam.
AUGACAUGAUGGGGAUAUUUUCUGAUGAGGUUCUUUAAUCUUUCCCAUGACUCAUGGAACUGCUCACCAUCUUGUUGCGAAAAGCUAGUGAGUGCUCGUCUUAUCUG